Molecule: transfer RNA, 78 nt
Filed under: Candidatus Omnitrophota bacterium
Lineage: Bacteria; Pseudomonadati; Candidatus Omnitrophota
Description: Candidatus Omnitrophica bacterium tRNA-Glu
Rfam family: tRNA
About the family: Transfer RNA (tRNA) molecules are approximately 80 nucleotides in length.
Source: RNAcentral
GUCCCCAUCGUCUUGUCUGGCCUAGGACUCAAGAUUUUCAUUCUUGCAACAGGGGUUCGAAUCCCCUUGGGGACGCCA